RNAcentral lists this unclassified non-coding RNA (253 nucleotides) under uncultured Coprinopsis. Its description in RNAcentral is "sequence contains ITS1". Lineage: Eukaryota; Fungi; Basidiomycota; Agaricomycetes; Agaricales; Psathyrellaceae. The record is from RNAcentral.
UUGAAUAAAUCUGACUUGGGUUGUAGCUGGCUCUCUGGAGCAUGUGCACGCUCUUGUCACCUUUAUCUUUCCACCUGUGCACACACUGUAGUCCUGGAUACCUCUCGCCUGUCACAGGGCGGAUGCGGAGAUUGCUGCUGCCUUUCAGUAGGCUCGGCUUCCUCUGAAUUUCCAGGUCUAUGAUUUUUCUUACACACCCCAAACGAAUGUUAUAGAAUGUAUUCAUUGGGCCUCUGUGCCUAUAAAAUCAAUA